Molecule: ribosomal RNA, 484 nt
Filed under: uncultured bacterium
Lineage: Bacteria
Description: partial 16S ribosomal RNA
Rfam family: Bacterial small subunit ribosomal RNA
Source: RNAcentral
AUUGAACGCUGGCGGCAGGCCUAACACAUGCAAGUCGAGCGGAAGAAGGGGGCUUGCUCCUGGAUUCAGCGGCGGACGGGUGAGUAAUGCCUAGGAAUCUGCCUGGUAGUGGGGGAUAACGUCCGGAAACGGGCGCUAAUACCGCAUACGUCCUGAGGGAGAAAGUGGGGGAUCUUCGGACCUCACGCUAUCAGAUGAGCCUAGGUCGGAUUAGCUAGUUGGUGGGGUAAAGGCCUACCAAGGCGACGAUCCGUAACUGGUCUGAGAGGAUGAUCAGUCACACUGGAACUGAGACACGGUCCAGACUCCUACGGGAGGCAGCAGUGGGGAAUAUUGGACAAUGGGCGAAAGCCUGAUCCAGCCAUGCCGCGUGUGUGAAGAAGGUCUUCGGAUUGUAAAGCACUUUAAGUUGGGAGGAAGGGAAGUAAGUUAAUACCUGGCUGUUUUGACGUUACCAACAGAAUAAGCACCGGCUAACUUCGUG